CCUACGGGAGGCAGCAGUGGGGAAUCUUGCGCAAUGCGCGAAAGCGUGACGCAGCAACGCCGCGUGGGGGAAGACGGCCUUCGGGUUGUAAACCCCUUUCAGGAGGGACGAAGCUCAGACGGUGAAUAGCCGUUCUGCGUGACGGUACCUCCAUAAGAAGCCCCGGCUAACUACGUGCCAGCAGCCGCGGUAAUACGUAGGGGGCAAGCGUUGUCCGGAAUCAUUGGGCGUAAAGCGCGUGUAGGCGGCUCGAUUAGUCCGCUCUGAAAGCCCGGGGCUCAACCCCGGGAGGCGGUCGGAUACUGUCGGGCUAGAGUCCGGAAGGGGCGAGUGGAAUUCCUGGUGUAGCGGUGAAAUGCGCAGAUAUCAGGAGGAACACCGAUGGCGAAGGCAGCUCGCUGGGACGGUACUGACGCUGAGACGCGAAAGCGUGGGUAGCA
This 440-nucleotide ribosomal RNA is filed under the name uncultured bacterium. RNAcentral's name for it is "bacterial SSU rRNA". It matches the Rfam family "Bacterial small subunit ribosomal RNA", at positions 338 to 770 of the family's 1533-position model. The record is from RNAcentral.